This 653-nucleotide ribosomal RNA is filed under the name Gymnosporangium japonicum. Its description in RNAcentral is "partial 28S ribosomal RNA". It matches the Rfam family "Eukaryotic large subunit ribosomal RNA", at positions 31 to 665 of the family's 3401-position model. The record is from RNAcentral. Lineage: Eukaryota; Fungi; Basidiomycota; Pucciniomycetes; Pucciniales; Gymnosporangiaceae.
AAAUUAAGCAUAUCAAUAAGCGGAGGAAAAGAAACUAACAAGGAUUCCCCUAGUAACGGCGAGUGAAGAGGGAUCAGCCCAAAUUUGUAAUCUGGCUCUUUUCAGAGUCUGAGUUGUAAUUUUGAGAACUGUUUUCUGCUCUGGACCAUGUACAAGUCUGUUGAAAUGCAGCAUCAUUGAGGGUGAGAAUCCUGUUCAUGAUAUGGACUACCAGAGCUUUAUGAUAUAGUCUCUAAGAGUCGAGUUGUUUGGGAAUGCAGCUCAAAGUGGGUGGUAAAUUCCAUCUAAGGCUAAAUAUUGGUGAGAGACCGAUAGCAAACAAGUACCGUGAGGGAAAGAUGAAAAGAACUUUGGAAAGAGAGUUAACAGUACGUGAAAUUGUUAAAAGGGAAACAGUUGAAGUUAGACUUGUUGUUGUUGGUUCAGCUCUUUUAAGGGUGUUUUCUAAUAAUUAACAAACCAAUGUCAAUUUUUGGGUGUUGGAUAAGGGUUAUUGAAAUGUAGCAGUUUUGGCUGUGUUAUAGUCUUUGACUUGGAUACAAUGCUUAGGAUUGAGGAUUGCAGUAAGCCAUUUAUUUGGUGGAACAAUUUAUUGUUCUUCUUGCUGAGGAUAUUGGUGAAAUAGCUUUAAUUGACCCGUCUUGAAACACGAA